UUAGGGGGAUGUGAAAGCCCCGGGCUCAAUCUGCGCAGGGUCAUUGGAACUGGUUACCUGAGUGCAGUAAGAGGGCGAGAGGAAUUUCACGUGUAGCCGCUGAAAUGUGUAGAGAUGUGAGGAACCACCAGUGGCGAAGGGGACUAUCCCGGUGUGGUUACUGACCGGUGAGGAGAGAAAGCGUGGGGGCGAACACGAUUAGAUACCCUGGUAGUCCACGCUGUAAACGAUGAGUGCUAAGUGUUAGGGGGCUUCCGCCCUUUAGUCGGCAGAUAACCCAUUAAGCACUCCCCCUGGGGAGUACGGUCGCAGGAUUGAAACUCAAAGGAUUUGAGGGGGGCCCGCCAAACCGGUGGACCAUGUGGUUUAAUUUGAAGCAACGGGAAGAACCUUACCAGGUUUUGACAUCUUUGACAAUCCUAGAGAUAGGAGGUCCCCUUCGGGGGCAGAGUGACAGGUGGUGCAUGGUUUUUGUCAGCUCGUGUCGUGAGAUGUUGGGUUAAGUCCCGCAACGAGCGCAACCCUUGAUUUUAGUUGCCAGCCUUCAGUUGGCAAUUUAAGGUGACUGCCGGUGACAAACCGGAGGAAGGUGGGGAUGACGUCAAAUCAUCAUGCCCCUUAUGACCUGGGGUACAACGUGGUACAAUGGGCAGAACAAAGGGCAGCGAAACCGCGAGGUUAAGCCAAUCCCACAAAUUUGUUUUCAGUUCGGAUUGCCGUUUGCAAAUGAAUGCGUGAAGCUGGAAUUGGUUGUAAUUGCGGAUCAGCAUGCCGCGGUGAAUACGUUCCCGGGCCUUGUACACCCCGCCCGUCACCCCCCGAGAGUUUGUAACACCCGAAGUCGGUGAGGUAACCUCUAGGAGCCAGCCGCCGAAGUGAACAGAGG
RNAcentral lists this ribosomal RNA (886 nucleotides) under Bacillus sp. (in: firmicutes). RNAcentral's name for it is "bacterial SSU rRNA". It matches the Rfam family "Bacterial small subunit ribosomal RNA", at positions 584 to 1473 of the family's 1533-position model. Lineage: Bacteria; Bacillati; Bacillota; Bacilli; Caryophanales; Bacillaceae. The record is from RNAcentral.